UACGAAGGGGGCUAGCGUUGCUCGGAAUCACUGGGCGUAAAGCGCACGUAGGCGGCUUGUUAAGUCAGGGGUGAAAUCCUGGAGCUCAACUCCAGAACUGCCCUUGAUACUGGCGAGCUUGAGUCCGGGAGAGGUGAGUGGAACUGCGAGUGUAGAGGUGAAAUUCGUAGAUAUUCGCAAGAACACCAGUGGCGAAGGCGGCUCACUGGCCCGGUACUGACGCUGAGGUGCGAAAGCGUGGGGAGCAAACAGG
Molecule: ribosomal RNA, 253 nt
Filed under: uncultured bacterium
Lineage: Bacteria
Description: partial 16S ribosomal RNA
Rfam family: Bacterial small subunit ribosomal RNA
Source: RNAcentral